Non-coding RNA from Phrynosoma platyrhinos (Desert horned lizard), 72 nucleotides. The record is from the annotation of a GenBank genome assembly. Lineage: Eukaryota; Metazoa; Chordata; Lepidosauria; Squamata; Phrynosomatidae.
UAUCCUGUGGUGUAGUGGUUUGAGCAUUGGACUGUGAUUCCGGAAACUAGGGUUCGAUUCCCCACUUGGCCA